This 2375-nucleotide long non-coding RNA is filed under the name Rhinopithecus bieti (black snub-nosed monkey). Its description in RNAcentral is "lncRNA (ENSRBIG00000045557.1)". The record is from RNAcentral. Lineage: Eukaryota; Metazoa; Chordata; Mammalia; Primates; Cercopithecidae.
AGGCAGCAGGCCGUUUUGUCCUGGGGUCGCUGACCCUGGCUCCCCCAUCAGCUGCCCUGAAACCUUAAUUGAAUGACAGAUGGUCAUUUUCGGGGGCGCCAGAAGCUGCGGGCGGCCAGCGGCGCGGGGGCUGCGGCCCCAGGCCCCGGCAGUCCCGCCCGGGCUCUGCCAGCAAGGGGCGGGCGGCAGAGGUAGCAGGCGCCAUGCGAAGCUGGCCCGGCCUGCGGGCGCGACGGGGUCUGCGGACGUCGGGCGAACGCGCGGCAAGAACACCUGGAGGAAACCCCGGCCUAAGAGGCCGCGCGGGCGAUAGAUCACUGGGUCCUAGCGUCCCUGCCAAUUCCCAGACCGAGGACCAGACGCAGACUAGGCCAGAGCUAGGCCACCCAGGAGCCUGGCCCGGCCUCCGGCCCUGGAAGGCGGCAGAAAGGGGACAAAACCUCUGUCUUUCUAGGCCGAAGGCAUGAGUUCCAGCAUCCUGGGUCCCCACGCGUCGUGGUCUGGGGCCAAGACCGCCCACAGUCGGCGCCCAAGCCCAAGACGCCCAUUCUGGACCUGGGCCUCCCGCCAGGACCCGCGCGCAGGUCGGGAAAAGGCCAGAUUCCGCGUGCUGCCUACCCUACGCGCCCAGCAGCGGCUUCUCGUCAGCGCCAUGCCCGGCCGGAACUCACGUGGGCCUCCACAUCCCGGCGGGCCGCCAGAAAUCCGCGGGCCCGGAUGCUGCCCGUCUGACCCUCCUGCCCCAGGCCCCGGCUGCAGAGAAAGUCUUCGGGCAGGAGACCAUCCUGUCCCUGUCUUUAAAAUGAGCACAAUAAAAGGGGGCAAAUCCUCGAACGCGAACCUGAUCUCAUGUCACAGAAGCAACUUGCCAUGAAAUCCGCUAAUGCGCCGCGACUCGCCCACCAGGAUAAAUAACCCCAUCGUCCGUGUAAUCAGCCCGUUCCCAAUGAAGUCGUGUUCCUCGAAUGCACUCUCUGCCUGCCACACUUGAGGAAUCCAGCCCACAGAGGUUUCGGAAACCCAGUUUGAGUGAUUCCAGCCUAGACUGAAACCCUACAAACCUCCCAGGAAAGAGAGCCCGGCCCGGGCCAAGCAGUCGGACACACACCCACACACACACACACACACACACACACACACACACACGGAUGGCGUAGCUCUUCGCAGGAUGGAAGGCUGGAUGUGGAUCUGGGAGGCUGUGGCUAAGUGAACCAGGAAGACUGUGAGGGAAACCAAUACAGCAGUGUCGUCUUGAAAGUUAUUUGGAAGAACAGGACCUGGAGUCUGGGUUUGAAUCAAAAAAUUAUGAGCAAGGAACAGAUUACCCAGUAUUUCUUUGGAGCGAGACAGAAAUGAGACCUGCCCAGCUGAACCAGCUUGGUUUGGAUUAGGAAAUUAUUCUCAGACACAGUAGCACACACAUCCUCUGACAGCGAGCUCACUCCUGGGCAGUGGGCUUCUGGCUCUGCCACUGCUCUCCACAACCGCCCUACAGGCCUCCUCCAGGUUUUGCUAGGCAAAUGAAACGAGCAGAACUCGAUAGUAAAUUAUUUUGUUCAGCCUUCUCUCUUUUUAUGAAAAUAAAAGGCAACACUUUGUCAUUUUUAAUCACAUAAGCAGACAAUAAAUCUGAUUUUGAUAUUGAUUAUUUUCCAGAAUCCAGUGAUUUUUUGUAGUGGCUGUUGUGUUUCCUUUCUGAAGAACGGCUGUUUUCUUGUAGACAGUGUGGCAAUGGGGCUGCGUCUAUGCAGGCUGGUGCUUAUCUGAAACACGUUGUGGACUUUGAAGCCCGAUAGCUGACAAGGGAUUCUUCCUGAGUGGCAGGAAGUUUGGAUUUUGUCUGAGACAGUGAUUUGAAUGGGCCGCCCCGGUGCCCUAGACUAGAUGUAAGGCUUUGACGGUGCUUUUAGGGGUUACAGCAUUGGAGAUUGACAGGUUUAAGUUUUUCUCAAAAUAAAAUCAAAUAAAUAAAAAUAAAAACAACCCCCAAAUCUUGCUGAUGUCAGGGGCGCAGAUGGCACCACGGGAAUAUUACUUAGCAAAAGGAAUGCAUCCUCCACGGAUGUCAGAAAUGUACCAGGCUCAGGAAAGGGGCAGGACCCUGCACGGGGUAAGGACUGAAGCCUAGCUGAGAAACAUUAGGAAAGGCCAGUUACUGCGAAAAGGUCCCAGGAGCUUAGGUACCGCCUCUGCAUCCUGAGGCUUACCUGGCGCUUUCCUUUCUUUCUCCUUUUUUUCAGAAACAGGAUUAGUUUGUUGUGUCAAAUGGACUGGCAUGUUUUAUAUGAAAGUCUGGAGGUGUAGAGACCUGCAUGAGGCUCCCCUGUAGAGAAGGAGGGAGGGGAUGAGAGAAGAAAGCUAGGGAGAAGGAAAGA